GUUCUUACUUCAGCAGACAAACUCGGCCCAUUUACGCUUAAAAACAGUGUGUGAAGUUCGAAUCUUUGGAUGUAUUUAGAAGUUUCGACUAUCACGUGGAUCUGCAAACAAUGUUAAAAGGGUGGUUCAUCUUUAAGGAGAUUUUUAAACUCAUUUACCAAAUUAAUGGAUGCUUGUGGCCCAGGAUCAGGUAAGGUAGAUCUGAUGGCAAAAAGAGACUUUGUCCGGCCAAAACCAAAUGCCUUCUUGAUUGGAUAUUUAAACAUUAUACCCACGUUGUUUAAGACGUCUUGCUACCUAUUUCACAUCUUUGGAUUUUUUUAUAAUUGUUUUUUUAUGUUUCA
Long non-coding RNA from Helianthus annuus (common sunflower), 344 nucleotides. RefSeq lists it as uncharacterized. NCBI's taxonomy places the organism in Eukaryota, Viridiplantae, Streptophyta, Magnoliopsida, Asterales, Asteraceae. The record is from RefSeq and is a predicted model, not a curated record. The transcript has 2 exons.